RNAcentral lists this ribosomal RNA (306 nucleotides) under uncultured bacterium. RNAcentral describes it as "partial 16S ribosomal RNA". It matches the Rfam family "Bacterial small subunit ribosomal RNA", at positions 507 to 807 of the family's 1533-position model. The record is from RNAcentral.
GACAGCAGUCGCCGCGGUAAUACGAAGGGUGCAAGCGUUAAUCGGAAUUACUGGGCGUAAAGGGUGCGUAGGCGGUUGUUUAAGUCUGUUGUGAAAUCCCCGGGCUCAACCUGGGAAUGGCAAUGGAAACUGGACGGCUAGAGUGUGUCGGAGGAUGGUGGAAUUCCCGGUGUAGCGGUGAAAUGCGUAGAGAUCGGGAGGAACAUCAGUGGCGAAGGCGGCCAUCUGGGACAACACUGACGCUGAAGCACGAAAGCGUGGGGAGCAAGCAGGAUUAGAUACCCGCGUAGUCCCUGUCUCUUAUAC